UGGAAGCAGCAGCAGCACGAGCGCGAGCACCAAUGGCGUCGAUCUCGAGCUUGGAUUUGGGAAAGAUCGUGCCCGGCGCCGGCUUCCUCCUCCACCGCCACGCCGCCGUUCCCAGCGCCCCUAUUCUCCGGGGGAGGAGCGCGAGCGGGCGGUGCGGCCUCGCUGUCUCGGUCUCGUCCUCCAAUGGUAGAUCUGCUCCGUGCAAUUGUUUGUGAUGUUGGAGCUGAGUUCAGUCAUAGUAAUGAGGUAAAAUUAGAGAUCCAUUUGGAGGGAGAUCGCAUGUAAAUGGUGUCCAGUUGGGCGUUGUUGAGAUUAAUCAUGGUGUUGAAUAUUCAGUUACAAACUUGUAAUUUCAGGUUCAGCUGGGCUCUCCCCACUGAGUGACUCGGAGAAGAAAUGCCCUGUGGUGAUGGAGAUCCCGCUGGAAGAUAUCCGGAGGCCGCUAUUUCAAACGCGUGCUAAUGAUCCCGAUAAGGUGCAGGAGCUCAUCGACAGCAUCCGUGUCAUCGGCCUCCAAGUACCUGUGGGCAUCUUUUCCUUUAACAUUAAUUUUACCAAAAUUAUUUUCUUUUAGCAAAUAUAAGAUAAAUUAUAUUAGAACUUGAAUUUUCUUGUGUGGAAUGGAGUACAUACAAAUAAAGUUAUAGAGUAGCUAAUACAUGGCCGACCACUGCUACUGAAUUCAGUGAUCUCCACACAGUUGUCUGAGGACGUUUGUGCUAUGGUUGAUUGAGAUUCACUUGA
Long non-coding RNA from Triticum dicoccoides, 744 nucleotides. RefSeq lists it as uncharacterized. The transcript is spliced from 3 exons. The record is from RefSeq and is a predicted model, not a curated record. NCBI's taxonomy places the organism in Eukaryota, Viridiplantae, Streptophyta, Magnoliopsida, Poales, Poaceae.